AACGCACAUUGCGCCCGCUAGUAUUCUGGCGGGCAUGCCUGUUCGAGCGUCAUUUCAACCAUCAAGCCCUAGGCUUGCGUUGGAGCCCUGCGGCUGCCGCAGGCUCCCAAAUCCAGUGGCGGGCGCCUGCCGUAAAACCCCCUACAUACCAAAGGUUGACCUCGGAUCAGGUAGGAAUACCCGCUGAACUUAA
Molecule: unclassified non-coding RNA, 193 nt
Filed under: uncultured Lasiosphaeriaceae
Lineage: Eukaryota; Fungi; Ascomycota; Sordariomycetes; Sordariales; Lasiosphaeriaceae
Description: sequence contains ITS2
Source: RNAcentral